Long non-coding RNA from Nelumbo nucifera (sacred lotus), 765 nucleotides. RefSeq lists it as uncharacterized. NCBI's taxonomy places the organism in Eukaryota, Viridiplantae, Streptophyta, Magnoliopsida, Proteales, Nelumbonaceae. The record is from RefSeq and is a predicted model, not a curated record.
CAGGGGAAGGAAAAGAACAUCUGAGGUUCUCUUCUCAGGAGAGAUGAUGCCGGCGUCCAGCAUCCAUUUGCCAGAAUUCAUAAGGCCAUCUUGGCUGGUCCCCGGCAUCAUCCUCCUGUGUAGAGAACCUGGCAUGACAAUUUAUCAAGCAUAAGAUCAAAGAAUAAUGAAAAGGGUACUGAGGUUUUAGCUCAAUGCUCUACUCUGCUGCGUUCUUUGUUCUUUCUUACCUUUUCUUUGGGCAGGUAUGCUGGGAUUGGACUCACAAGCUCAAGGUGGACAAUCAAAUCCAUUAACUCGUGUUUUUCUACCAAACCCUCCACAGGUUAAACUCAGAGGACGAUCUCAAAUGCAUACAUGUGAGCAAGCUGGGAGCCUAGAGGGUUCACUGGAAAAACCACCGAUAGAUUUCCCAGGCAAUCGUAUCUAGUCAUCAAGCCCAUUAUCCAACCCAAAAUGGAAUGGCAUCAAUUUCAUCUUCCUUCUCAACAAGCUUUGGCCCCUGACCAUUGGGUACCCCCCCCCCCCAAUGGCCUGCAACCAAGUAUCGUAGAGAAUAAUGCUGGACAGUAUCAGGUAUCAUGUUCUUAUGAUCAUUGCAGGCUUUUUAUUUAUGAAGUGAAAAGUAGGACUGCUAUGGACCUGUAGUAGCUGCUUAACAUCUUUGCUUUUUAGGCUUUAAUUCAUAGUGAAACUUUUGGCUCUAUUAUUUUUGGCUGUAUUUGGUUGCAGUGCAAACUUAUUUGCAUUAGUACAAAUGCAUGA